CCCUUUAAUGUUUGAUGUUCUAACGUGGACCCGUGAUCCGGGUUGCGGACAGUGUCUGGUGGGUAGUUUGACUGGGGCGGUCUCCUCCUAAAGAGUAACGGAGGAGCACGAAGGUUGGCUAAUCCUGGUCGGACAUCAGGAGGUUAGUGCAAUGGCAUAAGCCAGCUUGACUGCGAGCGUGACGGCGCGAGCAGGUGCGAAAGCAGGUCAUAGUGAUCCGGUGGUUCUGAAUGGAAGGGCCAUCGCUCAACGGAUAAAAGGUACUCCGGGGAUAACAGGCUGAUACCGCCCAAGAGUUCAUAUCGACGGCGGUGUUUGGCACCUCGAUGUCGGCUCAUCACAUCCUGGGGCUGAAGUAGGUCCCAAGGGUAUGGCUGUUCGCCAUUUAAAGUGGUACGCGAGCUGGGUUUAGAACGUCGUGAGACAGUUCGGUCCCUAUCUGCCGUGGGCGCUGGAGAACUGAGGGGGGCUGCUCCUAGUACGAGAGGACCGGAGUGGACGCAUCACUGGUGUUCGGGUUGUCAUGCCAAUGGCACUGCCCGGUAGCUAAAUGCGGAAGAGAUAAGUGCUGAAAGCAUCUAAGCACGAAACUUGCCCCGA
RNAcentral lists this ribosomal RNA (600 nucleotides) under Salmonella enterica. Its description in RNAcentral is "bacterial LSU rRNA". It matches the Rfam family "Bacterial large subunit ribosomal RNA", at positions 2203 to 2802 of the family's 2925-position model. The record is from RNAcentral. Lineage: Bacteria; Pseudomonadati; Pseudomonadota; Gammaproteobacteria; Enterobacterales; Enterobacteriaceae.